RNAcentral lists this transfer RNA (79 nucleotides) under Bacillus phage Shanette. RNAcentral's name for it is "tRNA-Trp". It matches the Rfam family "tRNA". Rfam says of the family: Transfer RNA (tRNA) molecules are approximately 80 nucleotides in length. The record is from RNAcentral. Lineage: Duplodnaviria; Heunggongvirae; Uroviricota; Caudoviricetes; Herelleviridae.
UGGGGGUAUAGUUUUAACUGGCUAAAACCGUGGUCUCCAACACCACUAUUCUAGGUUCGAAUCCUAGUGCCCUCGUAUC